RNAcentral lists this ribosomal RNA (1534 nucleotides) under Phocaeicola vulgatus. RNAcentral's name for it is "bacterial SSU rRNA". It matches the Rfam family "Bacterial small subunit ribosomal RNA". Lineage: Bacteria; Pseudomonadati; Bacteroidota; Bacteroidia; Bacteroidales; Bacteroidaceae. The record is from RNAcentral.
UAUUACAAUGAAGAGUUUGAUCCUGGCUCAGGAUGAACGCUAGCUACAGGCUUAACACAUGCAAGUCGAGGGGCAGCAUGGUCUUAGCUUGCUAAGGCCGAUGGCGACCGGCGCACGGGUGAGUAACACGUAUCCAACCUGCCGUCUACUCUUGGACAGCCUUCUGAAAGGAAGAUUAAUACAAGAUGGCAUCAUGAGUCCGCAUGUUCACAUGAUUAAAGGUAUUCCGGUAGACGAUGGGGAUGCGUUCCAUUAGAUAGUAGGCGGGGUAACGGCCCACCUAGUCUUCGAUGGAUAGGGGUUCUGAGAGGAAGGUCCCCCACAUUGGAACUGAGACACGGUCCAAACUCCUACGGGAGGCAGCAGUGAGGAAUAUUGGUCAAUGGGCGAGAGCCUGAACCAGCCAAGUAGCGUGAAGGAUGACUGCCCUAUGGGUUGUAAACUUCUUUUAUAAAGGAAUAAAGUCGGGUAUGCAUACCCGUUUGCAUGUACUUUAUGAAUAAGGAUCGGCUAACUCCGUGCCAGCAGCCGCGGUAAUACGGAGGAUCCGAGCGUUAUCCGGAUUUAUUGGGUUUAAAGGGAGCGUAGAUGGAUGUUUAAGUCAGUUGUGAAAGUUUGCGGCUCAACCGUAAAAUUGCAGUUGAUACUGGAUAUCUUGAGUGCAGUUGAGGCAGGCGGAAUUCGUGGUGUAGCGGUGAAAUGCUUAGAUAUCACGAAGAACUCCGAUUGCGAAGGCAGCCUGCUAAGCUGCAACUGACAUUGAGGCUCGAAAGUGUGGGUAUCAAACAGGAUUAGAUACCCUGGUAGUCCACACGGUAAACGAUGAAUACUCGCUGUUUGCGAUAUACAGCAAGCGGCCAAGCGAAAGCGUUAAGUAUUCCACCUGGGGAGUACGCCGGCAACGGUGAAACUCAAAGGAAUUGACGGGGGCCCGCACAAGCGGAGGAACAUGUGGUUUAAUUCGAUGAUACGCGAGGAACCUUACCCGGGCUUAAAUUGCAGAUGAAUUACGGUGAAAGCCGUAAGCCGCAAGGCAUCUGUGAAGGUGCUGCAUGGUUGUCGUCAGCUCGUGCCGUGAGGUGUCGGCUUAAGUGCCAUAACGAGCGCAACCCUUGUUGUCAGUUACUAACAGGUUCCGCUGAGGACUCUGACAAGACUGCCAUCGUAAGAUGUGAGGAAGGUGGGGAUGACGUCAAAUCAGCACGGCCCUUACGUCCGGGGCUACACACGUGUUACAAUGGGGGGUACAGAGGGCCGCUACCACGCGAGUGGAUGCCAAUCCCAAAAACCUCUCUCAGUUCGGACUGGAGUCUGCAACCCGACUCCACGAAGCUGGAUUCGCUAGUAAUCGCGCAUCAGCCACGGCGCGGUGAAUACGUUCCCGGGCCUUGUACACACCGCCCGUCAAGCCAUGGGAGCCGGGGGUACCUGAAGUGCGUAACCGCGAGGAGCGCCCUAGGGUAAAACUGGUGACUGGGGCUAAGUCGUAACAAGGUAGCCGUACCGGAAGGUGCGGCUGGAACACCUCCUUUCU